This is a long non-coding RNA of Panonychus citri (citrus red mite), 894 nucleotides long. RefSeq lists it as uncharacterized. The record is from RefSeq and is a predicted model, not a curated record. NCBI's taxonomy places the organism in Eukaryota, Metazoa, Arthropoda, Arachnida, Trombidiformes, Tetranychidae. The transcript has 2 exons.
CUGUGAUGAUGAUAAUGAUGGCGACUGUGAUAAUUGAAAUAGUUCUUAUCAAAUCGAGAAGGUUGAGUUAUCUUAGCUCUUAAUCCACUAUAAUAAGGAUCAUCUAAAAUAUAAUCAUAUUUCACGUUGACCAUUCGUUCAUCAUUUUCAUCUUCAUCGUCAUCAUCUUCCACGUCCAACUCAUCAUCAUCUUCAUCGCCUGUUACUCCAUCAACUCAUCCUUCAGCCAAUUUAUCUAAAGCAGACAAAAGGAUAGCUCAGAUGAAAAAGAAAGCAGCUAAUAAAAAGAAUCUACUAGCUUCAAUCAAGUGAUGAAAGAUUAACUAACAGCUCUUCAUCUCAACUAAUUUCUACUAAUUGAUUUAUUAUCAAUAGUAAAUCCCAGUGGCUGAGAUAGAGAAAGAGAUAGAGAGAGAUAUAUAGAAACUUAUAUGUGAUUUUGGCUAGAGAACAAGGUUAAUGUGUAACAAUUAACUGACCUUGUCUAAACGCUGGACAAUUUGAGCCAACUACAAUUUAACCUUUCUGAUUUUAAUUUUCCUUACAGUCCGAAAAGUGACCUACUAAGCGGAAAAUGGAAUUAUGUCUCCAAUUAAGAACUUGAAUGUUUUAUCUGUCAACUGAUUGUCAAUCGCACUGAAUUGCUUUUCCAGAAAUCAAUAAUCAAAAUAAGGGUUCAACCUUUUUUUCCGAAUAGGUUAAUUUUCUCAUUUUUCUAACUAAUUUUUACCAAGCGCGUUGAUCAAUUUCCAUGGGUGAUUCCUUUUUCUAAUUGCAAUUGCUUGAAUGGCUCAUAAGAGAAUAAUUGUGACUCUGGGUAAUAAGAUAAUUAAUAAUUAAUUUAUUAUAUUUUUGUCAUUUCAUAAAAUAAAUUCAAUGAUAUCCAAUGUUUAA